This 424-nucleotide ribosomal RNA is filed under the name uncultured Bacillus sp. RNAcentral describes it as "bacterial SSU rRNA". It matches the Rfam family "Bacterial small subunit ribosomal RNA", at positions 358 to 774 of the family's 1533-position model. Lineage: Bacteria; Bacillati; Bacillota; Bacilli; Caryophanales; Bacillaceae. The record is from RNAcentral.
GGAAUCUUCCGCAAUGGACGAAAGUCUGACGGAGCAACGCCGCGUGAACGAAGAAGGCCUUCGGGUCGUAAAGUUCUGUUGUUAGGGAAGAACAAGUACCAGAGUAACUGCUGGUACCUUGACGGUACCUAACCAGAAAGCCACGGCUAACUACGUGCCAGCAGCCGCGGUAAUACGUAGGUGGCAAGCGUUGUCCGGAAUUAUUGGGCGUAAAGCGCGCGCAGGUGGUUCCUUAAGUCUGAUGUGAAAGCCCACGGCUCAACCGUGGAGGGUCAUUGGAAACUGGGGAACUUGAGUGCAGAAGAGGAAAGUGGAAUUCCAAGUGUAGCGGUGAAAUGCGUAGAGAUUUGGAGGAACACCAGUGGCGAAGGCGACUUUCUGGUCUGUAACUGACACUGAGGCGCGAAAGCGUGGGGAGCAAACA